Molecule: unclassified non-coding RNA, 345 nt
Filed under: soil metagenome
Description: partial contains 5.8S ribosomal RNA, internal transcribed spacer 2, and large subunit ribosomal RNA
Rfam family: 5.8S ribosomal RNA (bases 1-120)
Source: RNAcentral
GAUGAAGAACGUAGCGAAAUGCGAUACGUAAUGUGAAUUGCAGAAUUCAGUGAAUCAUCGAGUCUUUGAACGCACAUUGCGCCCCCUGGUAUUCCGGGGGGCAUGCCUGUCCGAGCGUCAUUGCUGCCCUCAAGCACGGCUUGUGUGUUGGGCCUCCAUCCUCCUCCCGGGGGACGGGCCCGAAAGGCAGCGGCGGCACCGCGUCCGGUCCUCGAGCGUAUGGGGCUUCGUCACCCGCUCUUGUAGGCCCGGCCGGCGCUUGCCGACACAUCAAUCUUUUUUCCAGGUUGACCUCGGAUCAGGUAGGGAUACCCGCUGAACUUAAGCAUAUCAAUAAGCGGAGGA